Molecule: small nuclear RNA, 106 nt
Organism: Grammomys surdaster
Lineage: Eukaryota; Metazoa; Chordata; Mammalia; Rodentia; Muridae
Source: RefSeq, a predicted model, not a curated record
AUACCUCUUCAGCAGCACAUUGACUGAAAUUGAAAAAAUAUAGAGAAGAAUAUCAUAGCACCUGGGCAAGGAUAACACACAAAUUCAUAAGCAUCCUAUACCAAAU